This 26-nucleotide non-coding RNA is filed under the name Homo sapiens (human). The record is from RNAcentral. Lineage: Eukaryota; Metazoa; Chordata; Mammalia; Primates; Hominidae.
UGGCAGUGGGUUUACCAAAAAUGAUG